Molecule: ribosomal RNA, 169 nt
Filed under: Birgus latro
Lineage: Eukaryota; Metazoa; Arthropoda; Malacostraca; Decapoda; Coenobitidae
Description: partial 16S ribosomal RNA
Source: RNAcentral
UAAUUGUUUUAUAUUAAAAACAGAUAUUUUUGAUAGUAARUGAUCCUUUUUAAAGAUUAAGAGAUUAAGUUACUUUAGGGAUAACAGCGUUAUUUUUCUUGAGAGUCCUCAUCGAAAGAAAAGUUUGCGACCUCGAUGUUGAAUUAAAAUUUCUUUAUAGUGCAGCAGC